RNAcentral lists this ribosomal RNA (717 nucleotides) under uncultured bacterium. RNAcentral describes it as "bacterial SSU rRNA". It matches the Rfam family "Bacterial small subunit ribosomal RNA", at positions 136 to 851 of the family's 1533-position model. The record is from RNAcentral.
CUGGGGGAUAACACUUAGAAAUAGGUGCUAAUACCGCAUAAGCGCACAGCUUCGCAUGAAGCAGUGUGAAAAACUGAGGUGGUAUACGAUGGUUCCGCGUCUGAUUAGCUAGUUGGUGGGGUAAAAGCCUACCAAGGCGACGAUCAGUAGCCGGCCUGAGAGGGUGAACGGCCACAUUGGGACUGAGACACGGCCCAAACUCCUACGGGAGGCAGCAGUGGGGAAUAUUGCACAAUGGGGGAAACCCUGAUGCAGCGACGCCGCGUGAGUGAAGAAGUAUUUCGGUAUGUAAAGCUCUAUCAGCAGGGAAGAAAUACUGACCAUAGGGUCAGCAGACGGUACUUGACUAAGAAGCCCCGGCUAACUACGUGCCAGCAGCCGCGGUAAUACGUAGGGGGCAAGCGUUAUCCGGAUUUACUGGGUGUAAAGGGAGCGUAGACGGCAGCGCAAGUCUGAAGUGAAAUGCCAGGGCUUAACCCUGGAACUGCUUUGGAAACUGUGCAGCUAGAGUGCAGGAGAGGUAAGUGGAAUUUCUAGUGUAGCGGUGAAAUGCGUAGAUAUUAGGAGGAACACCAGUGGCGAAGGCGGCUUACUGGACUGUAACUGACGUUGAGGCUCGAAAGCGUGGGGAGCAAACAGGAUUAGAUACCCUGGUAGUCCACGCUGUAAACGAUGAUUACUAGGUGUUGGGGGACCCAAGGUUCUUCGGUGCCGUCG